UUAGAACGCAGAGCCCAGGCAUGACAAUGGACCGUGCAGUUGAUUGGGUACUGAGGUCUAAGACCCACAAAACUCUGCUAUUCCAUUAAAACAAAGAAUUAGAAAAAUUAUGAAAAACAGCCUGAAGCUGCUUUCUUUGUUCUUAACCGACUGUGCUUCUAUUGAGAAUUUCAAAUGGAAUUUAUUCCUAUGGCAGGGUUUUCACAGCUUGCCUUCCGUGACUUGUUUAUGUCUUCAAAAUCAGUUACAGCUGGGGAUACCCAUACACCACCAACUCAACUGCCAGCAGGGCUCGCAGUCUUGGCUCCCUCUAAACUACAGCUUCUGGAUGCUGACCCUGGGAAAGUAGUCCCGGAAGAUUUCACAUCUAUGAUGCCAUUCUCUUCUCACCUAGAGCUGAUUCUUCAUCCCCAGACAACCAGCAUAAUUUGUUUCUUUUACAGCUUGUUUAUCUGUCUAUCUAUCUAUCUAUCUACCAUCUACUAUCUAUCACUGAUUAUUGGUUUGUUUGACUUUUUUUUUUCAAGACAAGGUUUCUCUGUGUAACCUUGGCUUUUCUGUAACUCAUUCUGUAGACCAGGCUGGCCUCGAACACAAAAAUCUACCUGCUUCCUUCUCCCAAAUGCUGGGAUUAAAGGUAUCUAGCGUCAUCCCAGAAUGAGCUUUAUUAUGUAAAUAAAAACAAAAAGGUUAUUUUAGAUAAACCCAAAUGAGAAAAUUUAAGAAAACCAAGGAAAACAGAAGAAUUAAAGAGAAUAAAGGAAACAAAAAUUCUUCCAUAAAUGAAGUUCAUAAACGAAAAAAAAAAUGAUGUCUACAGUUGGCUUUAGAAAUAGUACACACUUUCAAAAUCUGUUUAUUUUGUCAAAACAGAUAACACAAUGAAAGUUAGGGAAGUCUAAAUGCAAACCUGUAGGGUAGAAAGAAACUAACCCCAAAAUAGUAUAACACAUAAUCCCUAACUUAAAAGGUAGAAAUACUUAAUUACAUUCUUUCCAAGAAAAUAAAAAUGUGAAAAUCAGUGAGAAAUUGAGGUAUAUAAACAUCUGAAAACAUUUCAACAAAUAAUAACUCUAAAUAUAUUGAUAAAGAGUUUUAUGCCUGGUCUUUUAAUGGUUUUCAGAAGUUGUAACAAAUUUUAAAGCUUUAUUAAUUGAUCCAAAACAACAGUCAGACUUUAGCAUAUCACAUUAUUAAAAGCAUAUGUUAAUAAUCUUUAUGAAUAGGAAAACAAGUUCUAAUACUAUAAACAACAUAUCAGAACAUAUUCUUUGUAAUUUUACUACAUAGUUUUCAAAUUAUGUUUAUUAAUACAUAUUUUUAUUUUAUAUUCAUAAAUGUUUAUUUUGUGACGAAAGACCUAUCAUGAAAAUGAAAAUCAUAGUAAAUAUAUUUAUUUUAAAACUAUAUUCAGUAUUGAUAAAGUCAAUAAAAAUAUAACAAACAUCUUUUGAGAUUUAAUAAAUUUUGUUUUAAAAGAUUUGAACAAAGGAAAUAAAAUGUAUUUCUGGAUAGAAAGGAACACAUUUGGAAAAUUGAAAUAGUAUCUUGUACAUGACACUAACAUUUUUGCUAAAUAAAAACUCAAAUUCAAAUCCAGCACCCAAAUGAUGUAAAAUGUACUUGAGAAGUCACAUUUUCUACACGUGUAUAAUUUGCAUAUUGGAAAUUUUAAAAUGGAAACAUUCUUUAUUGAGUAACACUAAGGAGUUACCAUUCUAUAGUAUGUAAAUAAAGAGGUUGAUACAUAGAAUUAAAUGUCUGCAUAUUGAAGAUUCUUGUGAUUGUGUUAAUCUUACCUAAUGUACACCUUAAACAUUACUUCUAAGGAGAGCAGAGUUUUAAGUAUAAUUUGGCAGAAUUAAUAAAAAUCUUAACAUCUAUGAAUGAGCUUUAUAUAAUACAUUUAUAUCAAGGAAUGAGAACCCAAGCAUGUUUAGGAGAUAUAAUUGUGACUAAAUGUUUAUUUCACUAUUAUAUAUCUACUACACAUUAAGUAUAAAAUAAUGUAAAUUUGAGAGAAGAUAUAUAAGAAUUAUGUCACUUAUUACCAAAGGGAAAACUGUCUUGAUUUAUGUUUAACAGGUUUAUUGACAUAUAAUUUCCAUACUGAAAAGCUCAACUACUUUGAGUAUACAACUCAAUGCUUUUUAUUACAGUCACUGAGUUGUACAACUGUCAGCAUUCAGCUUAAAUUGGGCGGUAACCUUUAGGACUUGAGAUAUUUUAACUUUAAUGUAGGCAUAUUCUGUUUUAAAUUUCUUUUCAUAUGUGGCGUUAGCUACAUCUUAUAUUUGGCUUUAGGGGUCUCCUCCACAUUUACUUCCAAGUGUUUCUUAAGGUACUUUGUUUCCUUCUUUGGCCCACUGAUUACUUGUUUCUUAAUCUCACAUUUGUGAUUUUUGUUGUUGUUGUUGUUGUUACAAAUCUCUAACUUCAUAGCUCUACAUUCCCAAAACAUACUGUUUUAUGAAUUCUGUUAUUUUUCAUAAAUUGGUGCUUGUGGACUUGCACAGUAUCUAUUGUUGAUAGUUAAGUAUAUUGAGUAUCUUUUGCUGUUGGCUUCCACCGCUGUGUUUUUAUAAGUUUUGAUCUUUUACCUAAUUUAUAUAUUUGUUGAAGCAGAGUGGAAACUGAAGUACUGGAGGCUUGAAUUCUUACAUAACUGAAUAGUAGCCUUCUGUUCAUUCACUCUUGAUUCUCUAUCUUUGGGCUAUGUUGUUUGGUUCAUAUAUCAAUAAUUAUUGGUAUCUUCUUGAUAGCUUGAUACUUUAAUGAUUAAACACAAUUUACUUAAUUUUGGUAACCGUGUUUUAUUCUUUUAAAGUUAUGUGAUAUUGAUACAGCCAUAUAACACUCUUACAGUUGUUCAAAAGAUAUAUAUUCUCACCUUUGACUUAUAUUCGACAAGAUGGUUGUAUGUAUGUGUAUUUGUUUUAAGAGUGUCACUGUAAAUAGUACAAGGUUGGAUAUUGAUUUCCUUCUGCAUUAUUCACUUUGACAUUGUAUUUCUUUUGAUUUCAUAGUUUAAUCCAUUCGCAAUUAUUGUAUUAGUGUUAUCUAUAUGGCUGAAUUUCCUGACCUAUUUUGCUAUCUGUUUACUUUAUAUCUUGUAUCUGUUUCUAUUCCUUUCUUUCUGUUUCAUUACCUUUUGAAAUAAGGGAAUAAUGCUUUCUUCAAUCAUUUAGUCCAUUUAGGAAAUGUUAACUCCAUACAUUUAUUUUUCA
Molecule: long non-coding RNA, 3227 nt
Filed under: Mus caroli (Ryukyu mouse)
Lineage: Eukaryota; Metazoa; Chordata; Mammalia; Rodentia; Muridae
Description: predicted gene, 36669 (MGP_CAROLIEiJ_G0006289.1)
Source: RNAcentral